AUUUCUCAUAUAUAAAGAUGCUAGUUCUUUCAUGAUUAUGUGAUAGGUGGUGCAUGGCCGUUCUUAGUUCGUGGAGUGAUCUGUCUGCUUAAUUGCGUUUCAAUUUUUAUUAUGUAUACGUAUGACCCACGUUUACGCGUGCGAGUCUAGUAUGCUAUCAUUUGAAAGCAACGAACGUGACCGUAUCCUUUUAUUAUAUACGCACGCGUAUAUUUAUUCAUUAAAGGGACCGCUGUUUCUUUUUUUAAACCAGAGGAAGGUUACGGCAAUAACAGGUCUGUGAUGCCCUUCGAUGUUCCGGGCUGCACACGUGCUACAAUGAUUAUUUCAUUAAGUAUCUACUAUACUGC
RNAcentral lists this ribosomal RNA (350 nucleotides) under Elphidium sp. S1. Its description in RNAcentral is "SSU rRNA". It matches the Rfam family "Eukaryotic small subunit ribosomal RNA", at positions 1230 to 1534 of the family's 1831-position model. Lineage: Eukaryota; Foraminifera; Rotaliida; Elphidiidae. The record is from RNAcentral.